CAGCAGUAGCCGCGGGAAUACAGAGGGUGCGAGCGUUAAUCGGAUUUACUGGGCGUAAAGCGUGCGUAGGCGGCUUCUUAAGUCGGAUGUGAAAUCCCUGAGCUUAACUUAGGAAUUGCAUUCGAUACUGGGAAGCUAGAGUAUGGGAGAGGAUGGUAGAAUUCCAGGUGUAGCGGUGAAAUGCGUAGAGAUCUGGAGGAAUACCGAUGGCGAAGGCAGCCAUCUGGCCUAAUACUGACGCUGAGGUACGAAAGCAUGGGGAGCAAACAGGAUUAGAGACCCGUGUAGUCCCUGUCUCUUAUAC
RNAcentral lists this ribosomal RNA (304 nucleotides) under uncultured bacterium. Its description in RNAcentral is "partial 16S ribosomal RNA". It matches the Rfam family "Bacterial small subunit ribosomal RNA", at positions 506 to 807 of the family's 1533-position model. The record is from RNAcentral.